AUACGUAGGGGGCGAGCGUUGUCCGGAAUGAUUGGGCGUAAAGGGCGCGUAGGCGGCCCGGUAAGUCUGGAGUGAAAGUCCUGUUUUUAAGAUGGGAAUUGCUUUGGAUACUGUCGGGCUUGAGUGCCGGAGAGGUAAGUGGAAUUCCCAGUGUAGCGGUGAAAUGCGGAGAGAUUGGGAGGAACACCAGUGGCGAAGGCGACUUACUGGACUGUAACUGACGCUGAGGCGCGAAAGCGUGGGGAGCAAACAGGAUUAGAUACCCUGGUAGUCCACACUGUAAACGAUGAAUGCUAGGUGUAGGGGGUAUCGACCCCUUCUGUGCCGCAGUCAACACAAUAAGCAUUCCGCCUGGGGAGUACGGCCGCAAGGUUGAAACUCAAAUGAAUUGACGGGG
This 397-nucleotide ribosomal RNA is filed under the name uncultured bacterium. Its description in RNAcentral is "partial 16S ribosomal RNA". It matches the Rfam family "Bacterial small subunit ribosomal RNA", at positions 523 to 918 of the family's 1533-position model. The record is from RNAcentral.